Molecule: ribosomal RNA, 421 nt
Filed under: uncultured archaeon
Lineage: Archaea
Description: partial 16S ribosomal RNA
Rfam family: Archaeal small subunit ribosomal RNA
Source: RNAcentral
CUACGGAUGCUCCAGUCGCGAAAACUUUACAAUGCACGAAAGUGUGAUAAGGGAAUCCUAAGUGCUUACCUUAUGGGUAGGCUUUUGUUAAGUGUAAGUAACUUAGCGAAUAAGUGGUGGGCAAGACCGGUGCCAGCAGCCGCGGUAAUACCGGCGCCACAAGUGGAGAUCACAAUUAUUGAGUCUAAAGCGUCCGUAGCUGAUUUAUUAACUCCUUUGUGAAAUUGUUAAGCUUAACUUGACAUCGUGCAGAGGAAACUAAUAAAUUAGGGACUGGGAAGAGAUAAGGGUAUUUUUAGGGGAGCGGUAAAAUGUUUUAAUCCUAAGAAGACCACCUAUGGCGAAGGCAUUUAUCUAGAACAGGUCUGACAGUGAGGGACGAAGGCUGGGGGAGCGAAACGGAUUAGAUACCCUUGUAGUC